AACGAACGCUGGCGGCAUGCCUAACACAUGCAAGUCGAACGCGACCUUCGGGUCUAGUGGCGCACGGGUGCGUAACGCGUGGGAACCUGCCCUUAGGUUCGGAAUAACUCCCCGACAGGGGUGCUAAUACCGGAUAAUGUCUUCGGACCAAAGAUUUAUCGCCUUUGGAUGGGCCCGCGUUGGAUUAGCUAGUUGGUAGGGUAAAAGCCUACCAAGGCGACGAUCCAUAGCUGGUCUGAGAGGAUGAUCAGCCACACUGGGACUGAGACACGGCCCAGACUCCUACGGGAGGCAGCAGUGGGGAAUAGUGGACAAUGGGCGAAAGCAUGAUCCAGCAAGGCCGCGAGAGUGAUGAAGGCCGUAGGGUUGUAAAGCGCUUUUACCCGGGAUGAUAAUGACAGUACCGGGAGAAUAAGCUCCGGCUAACUCCGUG
This 433-nucleotide ribosomal RNA is filed under the name uncultured bacterium. RNAcentral's name for it is "partial 16S ribosomal RNA". It matches the Rfam family "Bacterial small subunit ribosomal RNA", at positions 29 to 507 of the family's 1533-position model. The record is from RNAcentral.